Long non-coding RNA from Triticum aestivum (bread wheat), 688 nucleotides. RefSeq lists it as uncharacterized. NCBI's taxonomy places the organism in Eukaryota, Viridiplantae, Streptophyta, Magnoliopsida, Poales, Poaceae. The transcript has 2 exons. The record is from RefSeq and is a predicted model, not a curated record.
UUCCGCGCGAUCGGAGAGCAGGCCAACCUACAGCGCCAUUUCUCCUCUCCUAUUUGUGUGUGUGCGCGCGCGGGCGCGCGUGUGCUGCUCUUGCUCUUUCUCUUUCUCCUCUCCUACAUAACAUACCCAGGCCGGACGGCGAGAUACAUGGGAGAAGCUCCUCCCGAUCGAACAUUACCAUGCCAAGCGCUUUAUCUCUCUCACUCUCAUGAAGUUUGGUGCUGUUAGCUCAGCAAGAUACUUUUCUUCGUGGCAUCUCGGACAUGGGCGCCUGGCAUAGUAAUGUUCGGAAGGAUAUGGGUAGGCACAUCAGCCGUUCCCGUUGGAGCAAUAUGGCGGCACGGCCGCUAGUCAGAGGAGAAAGAAAAAUGUUAGCAUACAAAGCAUGGCUCCAUAGCUAGGGUUGUAUUACGGAUUAUUGGUUGGCUCACUGUCACUGAUCGGACCCCUUCAUGGAGUUGGAUGUUGUUGAUUGUUGCUUUCUCUCACUCACCUUGAUCAAGUUGCACUCUAUGAACUGUUGAUGUAGAGAGAGUAUGUAAUUAUCGUGGGAAUUUCUUUUGUUAGGCCUGGCAUAAUGUGGUUCUAGUCAACCCCUUAGAAAGGACAGUGUCAAUUUUUUCUUUUCAAACCGAGCAACUCUUGGGCCUCCAAUUUUAAUCCAAUAACACAAAAAUAUGUUUAAUCA